AUGAACGCUGGCGGCGUGCCUCAUACAUGCAAGUCGAGCGAACAGAUAAGGAGCUUGCUCCUUUGACGUUAGCGGCGGACGGGUGAGUAACACGUGGGUAACCUACCUAUAAGACUGGAAUAACUCCGGGAAACCGGGGCUAAUGCCGGAUAACAUGUUGAACCGCAUGGUUCUACAGUGAAAGGCGGCUUUGCUGUCACUUAUAGAUGGACCCGCGCCGUAUUAGCUAGUUGGUGAGGUAACGGCUCACCAAGGCAACGAUACGUAGCCGACCUGAGAGGGUGAUCGGCCACACUGGAACUGAGACACGGUCCAGACUCCUACGGGAGGCAGCAGUAGGGAAUCUUCCGCAAUGGGCGAAAGCCUGACGGAGCAACGCCGCGUGAGUGAUGAAGGUCUUCGGAUCGUAAAACUCUGUUAUUAGGGAAGAACAAAUGCGUAAGUAACUGUGCGCGUCUUGACGGUACCUAAUCAGAAAGCCACGGCUAACUACGUG
Molecule: ribosomal RNA, 496 nt
Filed under: uncultured bacterium
Lineage: Bacteria
Description: partial 16S ribosomal RNA
Rfam family: Bacterial small subunit ribosomal RNA
Source: RNAcentral